AGCAACUCAACAGCUGUUUAAAGCAACCGCUAGAAACUCCAACAUGGACGAACUUGAUUUGCUAUUAGAGGAGUUGGCCCUGGAUGCCAGCAGUGAUGCUGCCAAGGCUGAGGUGCCAGCUGCAGUUAAUGAUAAUCUCACCAAAAAUGGAGGAGCAUCAGCAUCGACGUCGGCAUCAGUAGGCUCAAGUGUCUACAGGUGAGACAAAAGCUCCAAAAUGAGGAUCUGCAUAAUUGUCAAGUAUAAAUAGAAACGUUACUUAUUCAAUUAAAUGUGAGUUUAUUCA
Molecule: long non-coding RNA, 286 nt
Filed under: Gouania willdenowi (blunt-snouted clingfish)
Lineage: Eukaryota; Metazoa; Chordata; Actinopteri; Blenniiformes; Gobiesocidae
Description: lncRNA (ENSGWIG00000014373.1)
Source: RNAcentral